Molecule: long non-coding RNA, 915 nt
Organism: Mirounga angustirostris (Northern elephant seal)
Lineage: Eukaryota; Metazoa; Chordata; Mammalia; Carnivora; Phocidae
Exons: 3
Source: RefSeq, a predicted model, not a curated record
CAGAGAUGACCUUGACAAGUCUGAGGACCUCUGACCUCUGACAAGUUUGAGGACCACCCUCCCCCCCAAGGCUGCCAGGCUUAGAACUUUACAAGACCACUCUUCCCCUGAGAGGGGGACCAUUGGCAACUCCUCCUGUGUGGGUUUUUGUAUUUCUGCUGGAGGAAGGAAAGGCCUGAAUAUGCAGCAAGCUCUUAUGUUCUUCAAUUGAGUAGAGAACUUAAAUCUGGAGUUUGGACAGGAAACUGGAACUCAGUGGGAGGUCUGUGAGGGUGGAGGAUGGGGGUGCUUCCAGGCUUUCAAAACACAAAACAGGUGGUUUUCAGCGGUGCUGGCUGGCUGGGGAGAGGUGGGGAGGGGAGGGGUGAAUACAAAGUAGGCAGGCUUCUGGAUGGGUAGGGCUGGGGCCUGCUGCCAGGGCUGGCUGCCUGAGAGUAGACAGUGACCAGGUGAGGGCCCAAACUUCCCUGCAUGCUGCUCCGGAAAAUCCUGGGACUGCCAAGAGGCUCAGGGAGGAACCUUGACUCCGGACUGGGAAAUGCUCAAAAGUGGGAGUCCAGCCAAGCUGAGGCCCCUGAAAAAGACCAGGAAGCAGAGUGGCAGGAACUCCUUCCUCUGAUGAAUCAGCAAGUGAUGUGGGCGACAAGGAAUCCGAAGCCAUGAGCCCAGCCAGAGGCAGCAUCAGCCAAGUCUGACAGGCUUUAAUUAUUUUAGGAAUCUGAGUGCAUACUAAGAUAUUCCCCAAAGGAAUGGGUCAGGAUCACACCUUACCAAAAGCAAACAAAACAAGCAAAAAACUCUGGCACAAAUAAGAUGUUUGAAAGUUAUCAGAAGCAUCUGUUCAGUAUGUUUCGAAAGCCAACUUGCUUAGUUCUGUGAAGCAAUGUCUGGGUUGGUGCCUAUGGAAAACAGAAG